CAGCAGCCGCGGUAAUACAGAGGGUGCGAGCGUUAAUCGGAUUUACUGGGCGUAAAGCGUGCGUAGGCGGCUUUUUAAGUCGGAUGUGAAAUCCCUGAGCUUAACUUAGGAAUUGCAUUCGAUACUGGGAAGCUAGAGUAUGGGAGAGGAUGGUAGAAUUCCAGGUGUAGCGGUGAAAUGCGUAGAGAUCUGGAGGAAUACCGAUGGCGAAGGCAGCCAUCUGGCCUAAUACUGACGCUGAGGUACGAAAGCAUGGGGAGCAAACAGGAUUAGAGACCCCCGUAGUCCCUGUCUCUUAUAA
This 301-nucleotide ribosomal RNA is filed under the name uncultured bacterium. RNAcentral's name for it is "partial 16S ribosomal RNA". It matches the Rfam family "Bacterial small subunit ribosomal RNA", at positions 509 to 809 of the family's 1533-position model. The record is from RNAcentral.